RNAcentral lists this ribosomal RNA (377 nucleotides) under uncultured bacterium. RNAcentral describes it as "bacterial SSU rRNA". It matches the Rfam family "Bacterial small subunit ribosomal RNA", at positions 521 to 896 of the family's 1533-position model. The record is from RNAcentral.
UAAUACAGAGGGUGCGAGCGUUGUUCGGAAUUAUUGGGCGUAAAGCGCAUGUAGGCGGGUUGUUAAGUCGCGUGUGAAAGCCCCAGGCUCAACCUGGGAAGUGCGCGCGAAACUGGCGACCUUGAGUGCUGGAGAGGGUGGCGGAAUUCCCGGUGUAGAGGUGAAAUUCGUAGAUAUCGGGAGGAACACCAGAGGCGAAGGCGGCCACCUGGACAGACACUGACGCUGAGACGCGAAAGCGUGGGGAGCAAACAGGAUUAGAUACCCUGGUAGUCCACGCUGUAAACGAUGAGUGCUAGCUGUGGUGGGUAUUGACCCCUGCCGUGGCGACGCUAACGCAAUAAGCACUCCGCCUGGGAAGUACGGCCGCAAGGCUA